This is a long non-coding RNA of Magallana angulata, 610 nucleotides long. RefSeq lists it as uncharacterized. The transcript is spliced from 3 exons. NCBI's taxonomy places the organism in Eukaryota, Metazoa, Mollusca, Bivalvia, Ostreida, Ostreidae. The record is from RefSeq and is a predicted model, not a curated record.
AUGAGUUAUGACGUCAUAAUAUACGCCCCGCCUCUGUAUUUCCAUAUAUAGAAAAUAUACCGAAAACAGCAGUUUAAGCAAAAAACACGGCUGAUUUAAUACUGCAUAAGAAAAAUAUAACUACGAAUCACUCAUGUGUGUUUUUAUAAGUUUACAACAUUCAGAAUAUACGAAGAAUUUCCACAACGCAUCUGUCGUAUGGGUGUGAAUAUGCGUCCCAAAAGCGCUCGUCAGACGAUGUAAAAACGUGUAGCUGGUAUUCCCGAUGAUGGCGAUUUUUUUAUGAUUUGUCAGAGUAAUUUGAAAAGUGUCGCACUUAUUUGAGAAAAAAAGGCUUGAAGAAAAUCUGGUACCUGCUUUGUUUUUGGAUUUACAUAAAUGAUGUUCUUAUUGGUGACAAUUUACCUGCACACUUAUACUGAGGUCAUAUAAAAGAUGAAAUGACGAAAAGAAAAACCUGAACUUUAAGAACAGGAAGACUGUGUUUUUGAAGAGAGAAGAGGAGCAGAACUAAGAAGUCAUACAAUAAACACAUUGACAUCAUAUAAAUAAAUUGCCAUUUUGAGUUUGCAUGCAUAUAUAUCAGGUUUAAAUGAUGUCACAGAAUUUU